GUGGGGAAUUUUGGACAAUGGGCGCAAGCCUGAUCCAGCCAUGCCGCGUGAGUGAAGAAGGCCUUCGGGUUGUAAAGCUCUUUCGGCCGGGAAGAAAUCGGCGACUCUAACAUAGUCGCUGGAUGACGGUACCGGACUAAGAAGCACCGGCUAACUAUGUGCCAGCAGCCGCGGUAAUACGUAGGGUGCGAGCGUUAAUCGGAAUUACUGGGCGUAAAGCGUGCGCAGGCGGUUUUGUAAGACAGAUGUGAAAUCCCCGGGCUUAACCUGGGAACUGCGUUUGUGACUGCAAGGCUAGAGUACGGCAGAGGGGGGUGGAAUUCCUGGUGUAGCAGUGAAAUGCGUAGAUAUCAGGAGGAACACCGAUGGCGAAGGCAGCCCCCUGGGCCUGUACUGACGCUCAUGCACGAAAGCGUGGGGAGCAAACAGGAUUAGAAACCCUAGUAGUCC
Molecule: ribosomal RNA, 450 nt
Filed under: uncultured bacterium
Lineage: Bacteria
Description: partial 16S ribosomal RNA
Rfam family: Bacterial small subunit ribosomal RNA
Source: RNAcentral